This is a non-coding RNA of Pangasianodon gigas (Mekong giant catfish), 73 nucleotides long. NCBI's taxonomy places the organism in Eukaryota, Metazoa, Chordata, Actinopteri, Siluriformes, Pangasiidae. The record is from the annotation of a GenBank genome assembly.
AUCUGUCUCUCUGUCUACACUCUGUCUGUCUCUCUGUCUACACUCUGUCUGUCUCUCUGUCUUCACUCUGUCU